Molecule: ribosomal RNA, 497 nt
Filed under: uncultured bacterium
Lineage: Bacteria
Description: partial 16S ribosomal RNA
Rfam family: Bacterial small subunit ribosomal RNA
Source: RNAcentral
GAUGAACGCUGGCGGCGUGCCUAAUACAUGCAAGUCGAGCGAACAGACGAGGAGCUGUCUCCUCUGACUUUAGCGGCGGACGGGUGAGGAACACGUGGAUAACCUACCUAUAAGACUGGGAUAACUUCGGGAAACCGGAGCUAAUACGGGAUAAUAUAUUGAACCGCAUGGUUCAAUAGUGAAAUACGGUUUUGCUGUCACUUAUAGAUGGAUCCGCGCCGCAUUAGCUAGUUGGUAAGGUAACUGCUUACCAAGGCAACGAUGCGUAGCCGACCUGAGGGGGUCGUCGGCUACCCUGGAACUGAGACACGGUCCCGACUCCUACGCGAGGCCGCAGUACGGACUCUUCCGCGAUGGGCGAAAGCUUGACGGAGCAACACCGCGUGAGUGAUGAAGCUCUCAGGCUCGUAGAACUCUGUUAUUCGGAAAGUACAAAUGUGUAAGUAACUAUGCACGUCUUGACGGUACCUAAUCAGAAAGCCCCGGCUAACUACGUG